CCUGUCCAAAAGGACGCAUGCGCGUCGUCGCGAGUGCGUGGACGGGUCCGUAAGGACUGACUCUGAAUCAGUGCAUUGGUCUGUGUACUGGUGAAAAUGUCUGCAGCACUGAGGCGGACAGUGCGGGUCGUGGAUCAUUCUGCAGCCGUGAUUGUUGAACUUUCAGUGGACCUGAGUCACCGUCACGAACCAUGUUAACGGAAGGAGACCGAACUAUAAACCGAGUCCACAAUCUACUUACUCCAUUGGACGACAGUGAUCUGGAUGAAAGUGUGACCCAGAUUCUGCGGAACCAUCACAACUGUGGAUACAAAAUGAUGGUUGGGCACCUGAAUGCACAAGGCAUCCGCAUACAGCAAUAGAGAGGCUCUGGAGAGAUGUUUAUGGGGGGGCGCUUGAUCUGUUCUACACAAUCUUUACCAACCUUGAGAGAGAUGGCCUUCUAAAUCCUGACAACGAAGUUCAUCUCUAUGCGCUACACUGGUGCUUUCUGCCUCAUAUUCAGAAGCACCUUCAGACUUUCCGGCACGGCUGGAACAGCCACCGACUGAGGACUGAGGGAAAUCAGUCCCCACUUCAACUCUGGACUUGCCAUGAGCAUGAGGCACAGCAGGACCCCAUGCAGGUUGACACCGAAUAUGGAAUUGACUGGACUGGACCAUGUGGUCAUCGAGAGCCAAGUAUUGUGGUCCCUGAAGUUCAGCUGCUGCGCUCCCUGACUGAGCAGGAAUUAGAAAGUCUACCAGAGCCCGAUGGCCCUCUGUCCAAUGUGUUGGAUGUUUACAUACAAACUGUAAGCCUAUUAUCAGCAAUGCUCCAAUAAUAUUUGCACAAUGGCAGAACGUCCAGGUUUUUGUUUUUCACAGUCUUCUGCAUUGUACAACAUGCUAAUAAAAGACUUGUGCAUUGUUCAACAUGUUCAUAAAAAACAGUUCCUGCAUUGUUCAACGUGUUCAGAAAACAAACUAAUACCAUGGUCUGGGUGACUACUCAGAUCUGAUUGGCCGACAGGUAUGUUCAGCUCAAGUUAAACCGAACAAGAUUCAUCCGCUUUAUCCUCCAGACAACAGAAGGAAUGUGUGUAUGAGUAGAGUUGUGUGGGCACAGCAAGGGGUCGCAGCCUAGACAUUGGUCUUCUUCCUCCGUGUGAGUAGGGACCAAAGAGUCUUGACACUUCGGCUGGGAUGAAGUGAUGAGAACAGGCAAUAAUCAAUUUUAGGAAAUUAAAAUAACAUCAAAACAGAAUAAACCACUCAUCACCAGUAGAGUUGGGUCGGUUCUCGGUAAUACCAAUUCGGUCCGGUAC
Epinephelus lanceolatus (giant grouper) is the source of this 1306-nucleotide long non-coding RNA. RefSeq lists it as uncharacterized. NCBI's taxonomy places the organism in Eukaryota, Metazoa, Chordata, Actinopteri, Perciformes, Serranidae. The record is from RefSeq and is a predicted model, not a curated record.